UACGGGGGGGGCAAGCGUUGUUCGGAAUUACUGGGCGUAAAGGGCUCGUAGGCGGCCAACUAAGUCAGACGUGAAAUCCCCAGGCUUAACCUGGGAACUGCGUCUGAUACUGGAUGGCUUGAAUCCGGGAGAGGGAUGCAGAAUUCCAGGUGUAGCGGUGAAAUGCGCAGAUAUCAGGAGGAACACCGGUGGCGAAGGCGGGUCUCUGGGCAACAACUGACGCUGAGGAGCGAAAGCGUGGGGAGCGAACAGG
RNAcentral lists this ribosomal RNA (253 nucleotides) under uncultured bacterium. RNAcentral's name for it is "partial 16S ribosomal RNA". It matches the Rfam family "Bacterial small subunit ribosomal RNA", at positions 524 to 776 of the family's 1533-position model. The record is from RNAcentral.